RNAcentral lists this ribosomal RNA (250 nucleotides) under uncultured bacterium. RNAcentral describes it as "partial 16S ribosomal RNA". It matches the Rfam family "Bacterial small subunit ribosomal RNA", at positions 524 to 773 of the family's 1533-position model. The record is from RNAcentral.
UACGUAGGUGGCAAGCGUUGUCCGGAAUUACUGGGCGUAAAGAGCGCGUAGGCGGGAAUUUAAGUCAGGAGUGUAAACUGUCGGCUCAACCGGCAGCUUGCUUCUGAAACUGGAUUUCUUGAGGGUAUGAGAGGAAAGCGGAAUUCCUAGUGUAGCGGUGAAAUGCGUAGAUAUUAGGAGGAACACCAGUGGCGAAGGCGGCUUUCUGGCAUACAACUGACGCUGAGGCGCGAAAGCGUGGGGAGCAAAC